RNAcentral lists this long non-coding RNA (1798 nucleotides) under Macaca fascicularis (crab-eating macaque). Its description in RNAcentral is "lncRNA (ENSMFAG00000060480.1)". The record is from RNAcentral. Lineage: Eukaryota; Metazoa; Chordata; Mammalia; Primates; Cercopithecidae.
CCACCCACUAGGAUGGCUCAGAUUUUUUUUUUAAAUGGCAGUAACAAGUGUUGGUGAGGAUGUAGAGGAAUCAGAACCCUUAUGCAAUGCUGGUGAGAUUGUAAAAUGGUACAGCCAUGUGAGAAUAGCCUGGAAGUCCUUCAAAAAGUUAAACAAGGAGUUACCACAUGACCCAGCAAUUCCGCUCCUAGGUGUAUACCCAAGAGAAAUGAAAACAUACGUCACACAAAGACUUGUAUGGGAAUGUUUGUAGCUGCAUUACUCUUAAUAGCCAAACACCGGAAACAAGUCAACCCAGAUCUUUCCCCUCACAGACCCCAUAGGAGGUCUACAGGGAGGUGUGACUAGCUCUGCAUUCCUGGAGUCACACAGUAGGCUGGUGGCAGAGCCAAUUCCAGUGUUCUUUCCAUUACAAAAAUUUGCCUCCAGUAACAAUGUGAGGAACAGUAAGAGGAAGAGAUUGAAAACAGGUGGACAUUAAUUAAUUAACAUAUUUUAAACCUAUGACUGGACAUUAAUUAAUUAAGGUAAAAUCUACUGGUUGCCAGGCACUAUGCUGAAGUUUUAGGACAUUAUUAUCUUCUUUGCCUAUUCUCAGAUGAAAAAGCUGAAGUUCAAAAAAAAAAUAGGUAACUUGCGUGAGGGUCAUGUAAUUGUUAAGAAGAACUGGAAUUCAAUCUCAGUUAUGCUCUGCUUCAAGACACUAUGUUUCCUCUCCACGACACUGUAUUGCAUCAAACUCUAAAGAUCUUCUACUCUGUGCAUCCUUCCUAUCCACCCCAGCCUCAACAUUGGAAGAUUCUUGGUUCAUCCACGGGCUCCCCAGAGCACGUGGCCCACAUCUCACUGCCUCAGUAACCCUGGAUCACAAAGAUUACCUGUCUCUUCCACCAUAAACUUGAAGCUUCUUGAGGUAGGAAUCUCAGUUCCUAGCACAGUGCCUGACAGAGUAAGUGCUAAGUAUUGCUUGUUGAAUGAAUAAAUGGAAUGAACGAGUGCGUCACACUGAAAUUCAAGGCAAGCAGCCAAUGUUUAAGAGACUUUGUGUUAUCUUUGCCUAAUAUGACUAUCAUUGUAAGACCAAAAGAACGUGGAAUACCCACAGAUCUUCAUGACUUCUGAGAGACAACUGGGAAAUAUAAAGAAUUUACGGCCACCAGCCUUCCUUCCCUUAUAUAAAUGCACAGAACCUGGGUGUUCCAUGCCACUGACUCACACGAGCCAAGACGGCAGCCUGGGAGCCAUUCCAACUCCGCACCUCUCCCACCUCCACUCCGCCUCCUGCUUGUGCAGACUGCAGGAAGCGUGUUAACCUCUCACAACAAAGAUUGCUUGGUUGCCAGCAGAUCCAGGCUGCUCUGGCUGGGAAAAUAAGCCACAAACAAGGUAGCCACAGGUUGAUCAACUGCCUAACAGGCUGUGUGGUGCAAAACUUCAGAGAUCCAAAAUGGUCUGUGUGAAGCAUGGGGAGUAUUCAGAAACCUAUUAAGUCAAAACACAUUGAUUACUACAAUAUUUUGGGACCACGCCAGGCUGUGACAGAGAAACAAAAGGAAGAUCAGUGAACACUUUACUGCUGAUGGAAUGCUCCUCUCCUGGGAAGCAAGUAACACUGCUGUAGCCAUUCUACAGAUGGAGAGGCUGAGGCUUGAAGAGAUCCAGUGGCUUGCCAGAAGAGGCUGGUUCUAAGAAGGAGAAAUACACUCAUGCCUGGAUCUUGUGAUAACACCUUCUCACAUUCUUUCUACCUGCUUUGGUGAAACUCUGCUAUGCUUGGAGUGAAAAAAAAAAAAAAAAA